RNAcentral lists this small RNA (29 nucleotides) under Bombyx mori (domestic silkworm). RNAcentral describes it as "ovarian small RNA-6975". Lineage: Eukaryota; Metazoa; Arthropoda; Insecta; Lepidoptera; Bombycidae. The record is from RNAcentral.
UCAGCACGGACUGCCGAGAUUGGAGCCCC